RNAcentral lists this ribosomal RNA (253 nucleotides) under uncultured bacterium. RNAcentral's name for it is "partial 16S ribosomal RNA". It matches the Rfam family "Bacterial small subunit ribosomal RNA", at positions 524 to 776 of the family's 1533-position model. The record is from RNAcentral.
UACGUAGGGUGCGAGCGUUGUCCGGAAUUAUUGGGCGUAAAGAGCUUGUAGGUGGUUUGUCGCGUCUGCUGUGAAAAUCCGAGGCUCAACCUCGGACUUGCAGUGGGUACGGGCAGACUAGAGUGUGGUAGGGGAGACUGGAAUUCCUGGUGUAGCGGUGGAAUGCGCAGAUAUCAGGAGGAACACCAGUGGCGAAGGCGGCACUCUGGGCCAGUACUGACGCUGAGGAGCGAAAGCGUGGGGAGCGAACAGG